UCCUGAGUAGCUCAGUGGUAGAGCGAUCGGCUGUUAACCGAUUGGUCGUAGGUUCAAGUCCUACCUCAGGAGCCA
This 75-nucleotide transfer RNA is filed under the name Verrucomicrobiota bacterium. RNAcentral's name for it is "tRNA-Asn". It matches the Rfam family "tRNA". From Rfam's summary of the family: Transfer RNA (tRNA) molecules are approximately 80 nucleotides in length. Their secondary structure includes four short double-helical elements and three loops (D, anti-codon, and T loops). Lineage: Bacteria; Pseudomonadati; Verrucomicrobiota. The record is from RNAcentral. RNAcentral also lists the same sequence under 1 other name.